GACGAACGCUGGCGGCGUGCCUAAUACAUGCAAGUCGAGCGAAGUUUUUCUGGUGCUUGCACUAGAAAAGCUUAGCGGCGAACGGGUGAGUAACACGUAAAGAACCUGCCUCAUAGACUGGGACAACUAUUGGAAACGAUAGCUAAUACCGGAUAACAGUAUUUCUCGCAUGAGAGAUAUUUAAAAGUUGGUUAUGCUAACACUAUGAGAUGGCUUUGCGGUGCAUUAGCUAGUUGGUGGGGUAAAGGCCUACCAAGGCGACGAUGCAUAGCCGACCUGAGAGGGUGAUCGGCCACACUGGGACUGAGACACGGCCCAGACUCCUACGGGAGGCAGCAGUAGGGAAUCUUCCGCAAUGGGCGAAAGCCUGACGGAGCAACGCCGCGUGAGUGAAGAAGGAUUUCGGUUCGUAAAGCUCUGUUGUUAGGGAAGAAUGGAUAUGUAGUAACUAUACAUGUAAGAGACGGUACCUAACCAGAAAGCCACGGCUAACUACGUGCCAGCAGCCGCGGUAAUACGUAGGUGGCAAGCGUUGUCCGGAAUUAUUGGGCGUAAAGCGCGCGCAGGUGGUUUAAUAAGUCUGAUGUGAAAGCCCACGGCUCAACCGUGGAGGGUCAUUGGAAACUGUUAAACUUGAGUGCAGGAGAGAAAAGUGGAAUUCCUAGUGUAGCGGUGAAAUGCGUAGAGAUUAGGAGGAACACCAGUGGCGAAGGCGGCUUUUUGGCCUGUAACUGACACUGAGGCGCGAAAGCGUGGGGAGCAAACAGG
This 768-nucleotide ribosomal RNA is filed under the name uncultured bacterium. Its description in RNAcentral is "bacterial SSU rRNA". It matches the Rfam family "Bacterial small subunit ribosomal RNA", at positions 28 to 776 of the family's 1533-position model. The record is from RNAcentral.